This 913-nucleotide ribosomal RNA is filed under the name uncultured bacterium. RNAcentral's name for it is "bacterial SSU rRNA". It matches the Rfam family "Bacterial small subunit ribosomal RNA", at positions 22 to 906 of the family's 1533-position model. The record is from RNAcentral.
GCUCAGAACGAACGCUGGCGGCGUGGAUAAGACAUGCAAGUCGAGCGCCGAUUUUGGGGUAGCAAUAUUCCAGAGUCGGAGCGGCGCAAGGGUGCGUAACACGUGGGCAAUCUGCCAUGAAGUUUGGGAUAAUCCCGCGAAAGCGGGACUAAUACCGGAUGUGACCGUUGGGGGGCAUCUCCUGAUGUUUAAAGCUGGGGACCGUAAGGCCUGGCGCUUCAUGAUGAGCCCGCGGCCUAUCAUCGGUAGUUGGUGAGGUAACGGCUCACCAAGCCUGAGACGGGUAGCUGGUCUGAGAGGACGACCAGCCACACUGGAACUGAGACACGGUCCAGACACCUACGGGUGGCAGCAGUCGAGAAUUUUUCACAAUGGGCGAAAGCCUGAUGGAGCGACGCCGCGUGGGGGAUGAAUGGCUUCGGCCCGUAAACCCCUGUCAUUCGCGAUCAACCCUUAUUAUUUAAAAGAUGAUAAGCUGAUAGUAGCGGAAGAGGAAGGGACGGCUAACUCUGUGCCAGCAGCCGCGGUAAUACAGAGGUCCCAAGCGUUGUUCGGAUUCACUGGGCGUAAAGGGUGCGUAGGUGGUCAGGUAAGUCGGAUGUGAAAGCUCGGAGCUCAACUCCGAAAUGGCAUUGGAAACUACCUGGCUAGAGGAAUGGAGGGGGGACUGGAAUUCUCGGUGUAGCAGUGAAAUGCGUAGAUAUCGAGAGGAACACCAGUGGCGAAGGCGAGUCCCUGGACAUCUCCUGACACUGAGGCACGAAAGCUAGGGGAGCAAACAGGAUUAGAUACCCUGGUAGUCCUAGCCGUAAACGGUGCAUGCUUGCUGUAAAAGGAAUCGACCCCUUUUGUGGCGGAGCCAACGCGUUAAGCAUGCCGCCUGGGAAGUACGGUCGCAAGAUUAAACUCAAAG